AGUCGAACGGCAGCGCGGGGCAACCUGGCGGCGAGUGGCGAACGGGUGAGUAAUAUAUCGGAACGUACCCAAGAGUGGGGGAUAACGUAGCGAAAGUUACGCUAAUACCGCACACGAUCUAUGGAUGAAAGUGGGGGAUCGCAAGACCUCAUGCUCCUGGAGCGGCCGAUAUCUGAUUAGCUAGUUGGUGAGGUAAAGGCUCACCAAGGCGACGAUCAGUAGCUGGUCUGAGAGGACGACCAGCCACACUGGAACUGAGACACGGUCCAGACUCCUACGGGAGGCAGCAGUGGGGAAUUUUGGACAAUGGGCGCAAGCCUGAUCCAGCAAUGCCGCGUGAGUGAAGAAGGCCUUCGGGUUGUAAAGCUCUUUUGUCAGGGAAGAAACGGUUGGGGCUAAUAUCCUCGGCUAAUGACGGUACCUGAAGAAUAAGCACCGGCUAACUACGUGCCAGCAGCCGCGGUAAUACGUAGGGUGCAAGCGUUAAUCGGAAUUACUGGGCGUAAAGCGUGCGCAGGCGGUUUUGUAAGUCUGUCGUGAAAGCCCCGGGCUCAACCUGGGAAUUGCGAUGGAGACUGCAAGGCUUGAAUCUGGCAGAGGGGGGUAGAAUUCCACGUGUAGCAGUGAAAUGCGUAGAGAUGUGGAGGAACACCGAUGGCGAAGGCAGCCCCCUGGGUCAAGAUUGACGCUCAUGCACGAAAGCGUGGGGAGCAAACAGGAUUAGAUACCCUGGUAGUCCACGCCCUAAACGAUGUCUACUAGUUGUCGGGUUUUAAUUAACUUGGUAACGCAGCUAACGCGUGAAGUAGACCGCCUGGGGAGUACGGUCGCAAGAUUAAAACUCAAAGGAAUUGAC
Molecule: ribosomal RNA, 856 nt
Filed under: uncultured bacterium
Lineage: Bacteria
Description: bacterial SSU rRNA
Rfam family: Bacterial small subunit ribosomal RNA
Source: RNAcentral